RNAcentral lists this ribosomal RNA (450 nucleotides) under uncultured bacterium. RNAcentral's name for it is "partial 16S ribosomal RNA". It matches the Rfam family "Bacterial small subunit ribosomal RNA", at positions 354 to 796 of the family's 1533-position model. The record is from RNAcentral.
GUGGGGAAUCUUCCGCAAUGGACGAAAGUCUGACGGAGCGACGCCGCGUGAGUGAAGAAGGCCUUCGGGUCGUAAAGCUCUGUCAUCAGGGACGAACGGCCGGUGGAGUGGAAAGCCAUCGGAUUGACGGUACCUGAGAAGGAAGCCACGGCUAACUACGUGCCAGCAGCCGCGGUAAUACGUAGGUGGCAAGCGUUGUCCGGAAUUAUUGGGCGUAAAGCGCGCGCAGGUGGGAUCUUAAGUCCAUUUUUAAAGUUCGGAGCUCAACUCCGUGAUGGGAUGGAAACUGGGAUUCUUGAGUACCGGAGAGGAAAGCGGAAUUCCCCGUGUAGCGGUGAAAUGCGUAGAUAUGGGGAGGAACACCAGUGGCGAAGGCGGCUUUCUGGACGGUGUCUGACACUGAGGCGCGAAAGCCAGGGGAGCGAACGGGAUUAGAUACCCGAGUAGUCC